This 312-nucleotide ribosomal RNA is filed under the name uncultured eukaryote. Its description in RNAcentral is "partial 18S ribosomal RNA". It matches the Rfam family "Eukaryotic small subunit ribosomal RNA", at positions 1470 to 1796 of the family's 1831-position model. The record is from RNAcentral.
CCCUUAGAUGUUCUGGGCCGCACGCGCGCUACACUGAUGCAUUCAACGAGUUUCUUCCUGGUCCGAGAGGAAUGGGUAACCUUUUGAAAGUGCAUCGUGAUAGGGAUAGACUAUUGCAAUUAUUGGUCUUCAACGAGGAAUUCCUAGUAGACGUAGUUCAUCAGACUGCAUGGAUUACGUCCCUGCCCUUUGUACACACCGCCCGUCGCUCCUACCGAUUGAGUGAGCCGAUGAAACUGCCGGAUGUGGACUAUUCAUAGUCUGCAGAAGAUAUUUGAAUCGUAGCGCUUAGAGGAAGGAGAAGUCGUAACA